GGAGCACAAGGAUCUACGUUAAUCCCAACAAGCAGACGCACAAGGAUCUAUGUUAAUCCCAAUAAGCAGGUGCACAAAGAUCUACGUUAAUCCCAACAAGCAGGUGCACAAAGAUCCACGUUAAUCCCAGCAAGCAGGUGCACAAGUAUCUACGUUAUUCCCAACAAGCAGACGCACAAAGAUCCACGUUAAUCCCAGCAAGCAGGUGCACAAGUAUCUACGUUAAUCCCAACAAGCAGGUGCACAAGGAUCUAUGUUAAUCCCAACAAGCAGGUGCACAAGGAUCCACGUUAAUCCCAACAAGCAGGUGCACAAGGAUCCACGUUAA
Haliotis rubra (blacklip abalone) is the source of this 328-nucleotide long non-coding RNA. RefSeq lists it as uncharacterized. The transcript has 3 exons. The record is from RefSeq and is a predicted model, not a curated record. Lineage: Eukaryota; Metazoa; Mollusca; Gastropoda; Lepetellida; Haliotidae.